CGAUUCUUACUGUCCACAAUGGUAUCUUUCCCAUUGGGACAAAGCUCGAUCUCUUUCUUAGAGCCCAACGACUCAACAUCACAAAUGAACCUCAAGCCUAGAUUAUCUCCGUCCAACAUCUCUGGAUCCAUUUCUAGUAUUUCCUUACAGCUCUUGUAAAAGGGUGGAUCCGCAUCCCUAACAUCUUCCAACGUUAUGUCUUUCCCAGCCAAUUGCAAAUAGAAGGUGCGAUCAAACACAAUACCGAUUUGUAUUUUAUGCGUUAAAGUCAACGCAAUCAUCCUACCAGAGAACCAGAAGUAAUCAAGGUGUAAUGGUUUAACCUUAGAUGCUGAAUUUGGAAAAAACCUUCUACGAUCAUUUGGGCAAGCAACAAAGAGAGCAUUCUGAGG
This 392-nucleotide unclassified non-coding RNA is filed under the name Hevea brasiliensis (rubber tree). Lineage: Eukaryota; Viridiplantae; Streptophyta; Magnoliopsida; Malpighiales; Euphorbiaceae. The record is from RNAcentral.